UGCACAUGUAUCAGCUGGAGGGCUUGAACUGGCUGCGCUUCUCGUGGGCUCAGGGCACCGACACCAUCCUGGCUGAUGAGAUGGGGCUGGGCAAGACCAUACAGACCAUUGUCUUCCUCUACUCGCUCUAUAAGGAGGUGCUGGAUGCUGGGGCCCCCGAGGGGAAGAGCGGGGAGUGGAGGGCCCUCGAGGGCAGAGGAUGGCAGGGAGGAGCGUGGCAGCCAGAGGACUGGGGUCACAUCCGGACUAAUGGUCCCCCCUACCCUCGACCCCCAGGGCCACACGAAGGGUCCCUUCUUGGUGAGCGCCCCACUCUCCACCAUCAUUAACUGGGAGCGGGAGUUCCAGAUGUGGGCACCCAAGUUCUACGUGGUGACCUACACGGGGGACAAGGACAGCCGGGCCAUCAUUCGGGAGAACGAGUUUUCCUUCGAAGACAACGCCAUCAAAGGUGGCAAGAAAGCUUUUAAGAUGAAGGUAGGCCCCUCGACCUUGUCUUCUCUAAGAGCCUCAGCUCCGGUUUUCUCUGCCCCAACCCCAAUUUUAGUUUCUCGGCGCUCUCCCUCCUUUCCUCCACCUACUCUCACGCUUCUGCUCUCCUGUCCUGGAGACGUAGGGCGUCCAUUCUGUCCUCACUGGCCAUGUGUUGGUGGUUCGGGGGCCACGUUCAGUAAUCCCUGCGUGGAGUCAAAGUUGGAGGACAGGCUGUCUGGCUCCUCUUUGGCAAUCACGGCCGGGAUGGGGUGUCUGGUAAAGAACAGGGGUGGAGGUCUAGGCGCCUGGGUGUCGGGUGGCAGCCGAACGGACGAUGGCUGUGUUGGCAGAGGGAGGCCCAGGUGAAGUUCCAUGUGCUCCUGACAUCGUACGAGCUGAUCACCAUUGAUCAGGCAGCACUCGGUUCCAUCCGCUGGGCCUGCCUUGUGGUGGAUGAAGCCCAUCGGCUCAAGAAUAACCAGUCCAAGGUGAGCGAGAUACCCAGAGCUCAGAGUUUUGCUCUACUUCUAAAAAGGAAAGUUCUGGACUUUCUGUGGUCCGGAAGGCAAGAUGCCUGGGGACCUCCGGUGGGGAGAGAGGGACAGACUAGGGAUUCGGGGCCUCUCAUCCUAAAGGGAACCGGAAAAGUGGAUACCGUGGUCCAACCACUUGCCACUAACGGGCCCGUUCUCCUGCCUUUCCUUGCCCCACUUUCUAGUUUUUCAGGGUCCUCAAUGGCUACAAGAUAGAUCAUAAGUUGCUGCUGACAGGGACUCCAUUGCAGAAUAAUCUGGAGGAGCUUUUCCAUCUGCUUAACUUCCUCACCCCCGAGAGGUUUAAGUAAGUGACUCAGCAGGGCGGUCUGCAGAGAUGAGAAGUGGAGGGACGGGGAACCUGAGUGGGCAGAGGAUUCAUCUAAGUGAAGCAUGGAGCCUGAGGUCAGGGGCAAAGAACCUGAUGGGCAUUUCAGUUCCUUAUCUUCUUCUGGCUGCUAGCAAUCUGGAAGGCUUCUUGGAGGAGUUUGCUGACAUAUCCAAAGAAGACCAGAUUAAGAAACUGCAUGAUUUGCUUGGGCCGCACAUGCUGCGGAGGCUCAAGGCCGAUGUCUUUAAGAACAUGCCAGCCAAGACGGAGCUCAUCGUUCGGGUGGAGCUGAGCCCCAUGCAGAAGUGAGUUGAGAGCCGGGUGACCUGGAUCCGGGGCUGGGGUUUGGUGGCAGCUUUCCAGGACGUGGCGACCCAGGGCGCCCUCAUCACUGCCUCCUUUAUUGUGUGUCUUCCGCGCCCUGGUCUUUAGGAAAUACUACAAGUACAUCCUGACUCGGAACUUUGAGGCCUUGAAUUCACGAGGUGGUGGGAACCAGGUGUCGCUGCUCAACAUCAUGAUGGACCUUAAGAAGUGCUGCAACCAUCCCUACCUCUUUCCUGUGGCUGCUAUGGUGACGCACGCACUGGGGGCUGAUGGCGCGCUAGCUCUGUGAAAACGGGAUGGCGGCGGGGGGGGGGGGGGGGGGGGGGGGGGGGGGGGNNNNNNNNNNNNNNNNNNNNNNNNNNNNNNNNNNNNNNNNNNNNNNNNNNNNNNNNNNNNNNNNNNNNNNNNNNNNNNNNNNNNNNNNNNNNNNNNNNNNNNNNNNNNNNNNNNNNNNNNNNNNNNNNNNNNNNNNNNNNNNNNNNNNNNNNNNNNNNNNNNNNNNNNNNNNNNNNNNNNNNNNNNNNNNNNNNNNNNNNNNNNNNNNNNNNNNNNNNNNNNNNNNNNNNNNNNNNNNNNNNNNNNNNNNNNNNNNNNNNNNNNNNNNGGAGGCGGGGCGGGGGGCGUGGCACGGAGUUUCUGGGAGGAGUGGGAAUGUGCAAGUCGUGGACGCUGGAUUUGGGCUUUGGGCAUUCUGGGCACAGUCAGAACACGGGGACGGGUUUCCUGAUCUUCCCCUCCCUUUGCAGGAGUCCCCCAAACUGCCCAGUGGGGCUUAUGAGGGUGGGGCACUUAUUAAGGCAUCUGGGAAGCUUAUGCUGCUGCAGAAGAUGCUGCGAAAGCUGAAGGAGCAAGGACACCGAGUGCUCAUCUUCUCGCAGGUGAGCCGGUCUGUAGCUGUGUUGACCUCGGGCCGGUCCCUUACCUCGGUCCUGUGGCCACCACGGUAUGAGAGGCUAGGAGAUCACACCCUGGAGGGCGUCUGGUCUGGCUGCAUUCAUCUUGGCCUCUGAUCCCUGUUCUUAACUAAGGUUGUGGAAAGUCGUCGGCCGGCUUCUUUUAAGCCAAAUGGGGAAAGGCGGAGGGUGGGUCAUCUGUCUGCUCAGGGUCGUCCCUGGGACUGGAACUGUUUCUUUUUUUUCUUUUUUUAAUUUUUUUUCAACGUUUAUUUUUUAUUUAUUUAUUUAUUUAUUUAUUUAUUUUUUUUUUUAAAUUUUUUUUUUUCAACGCUUUUUAUUUAUUUUGGGACAGAGAGAGACAGAGCAUGAACGGGGAGGGGCAGAGAGAGAGGGAGACACAGAAUCGGAAACAGGCUCCAGGCUCCGAGCCAUCAGCCCAGAGCCUGACGCGGGGCUCGAACUCACGGACCGCGAGAUCGUGACCUGGCUGAAGUCGGACGCUUAACCGACUGCGCCACCCAGGCGCCCCUAUUUUUUAUUUUUGGGACAGAGAGAGACAGAGCAUGAACGGGGGAGGGGCAGAGAGAGAGGGAGACACAGAAUCAGAAACAGGCUCCAGGCUCUGAGCCAUCAGCCCAGAGCCUGACGCAGGGCUCGAACUCACGGACCGCGAGAUCGUGACCUGGCUGAAGUCGGACGCUUAACCGACUGCGCCACCCAGGCGCCCCUGGAACUGUUUCUUAACCAGGAGCGGGACAGGAGAGCCCAGAGCUCUUACAAAUCCGAUGAAAGCGAUAGGUCCGCUCUCUGGAAAUCUGCACGGACAGACAGUUAUGUACAGAUUUUCUGGGCAUUCGUAGUUUUCCCCGAAACCUUUUGGUGGGUCUCAGAGGAGAAUCUCUGCCUCAGGAGACACAAUCCUGAGCCCAGCAAGUAUGACCAGAACGUGGGGCUUGAAGAACGUGAAGAGGGACUGGGCGGGGGGGCAGCACCAGUGGAGCACGGGACGGGGCUGGCGGAAAGUGGAGGGAUCGUGGUUGGGGUAAAGACGGGGCCCAUCCUGCUGCUCCGUCAUUCCAGACUCCGUCCUCUUCUCUUGGCCUAGAUGACCAAGAUGUUGGACCUGCUAGAGGACUUCUUAGACUACGAAGGCUACAAGUACGAGCGCAUCGACGGCGGCAUCACUGGGGCCCUGAGGCAGGAGGCCAUCGAUCGGUUUAAUGGUGAGCGGGAGAGGCCUAGGCCCCACUUUGCGGGCAAGGCCCAUGCCUCCUGUGCCUAGGUUCCCAGCAUGGCGGGCAUUUAUUUACCACCCCGCUUCCGAGCUGGGGGUGCGGUUGUCUGCGGUCAAGGAGUGUCUAGUUAGCAGGUGCCCAACCCCUUUCUCUGCCCCCAGCUCCUGGCGCCCAGCAGUUCUGCUUCCUACUGUCCACCCGGGCCGGGGGCCUGGGCAUCAAUCUGGCCACUGCCGACACUGUCAUCAUCUUCGAUUCCGACUGGAACCCUCAUAACGACAUCCAGGUGGGAACUCGCCUCCUGGAGCCUCUGCCCCAGUUAGCAGGGAAAUGUGGGCUCUGGGCAGAGUGUUGUGUCCUGCGGUCAGAAAGGAACCUCUCGGGAACAGAUGAGCCUCCGUUCCCAGGCACGUGAGCUGCGUCACAGGCCCUGCCACCCCCCGACCCCAGUUCAUCCCCACUGUCUCCUUGCCCCUGCAGGCCUUCAGCCGUGCUCACCGGAUCGGCCAGGCCAACAAAGUGAUGAUUUACCGGUUUGUGACUCGAGCGUCCGUGGAGGAGCGCAUCACACAGGUGGCCAAGAGGAAGAUGAUGCUCACCCACCUGGUGGUGCGGCCUGGGCUGGGCUCCAAGGCGGGCUCCAUGUCCAAGCAGGAGCUGGACGACAUCCUCAAGUUCGGCACCGAGGAGCUGUUCAAGGAUGAGAACGAGGGUGAGAACCUUUUCCUGUGGUUUCUGGAAAGCAGCCCCUUGCCCUCAUGGGAGCACUUGUCUUCUGAAACCCUUCCAGAAACGCUCCCCUGUGCAGCCUGGGGAGGAAGGUUGGCCUCUCUUCUUACACGGAGGGUUGAAGACAACCACAAAUCUCUAGACUCCCGGGGAAAGGGUCUUCUCCCCUUUGAGCUCCUGGGAAAAGGAAGCAGAUUGGAGGGCUUUUCACUGACCCUUUGCUAAAGUUCUGCCCGAGGUUCUGGUUGGAACUCAGGGUCCCCUCUCGUUCCCGGUCUCCACCAGGGGAGAACAAGGAGGAGGACAGCAGCGUGAUUCACUACGACAAUGAGGCCAUCGCGCGGCUGUUGGACCGGAACCAGGAUGCGACAGAGGACACCGACGUGCAGAACAUGAACGAGUAUCUGAGCUCCUUCAAGGUGGCGCAGUACGUGGUGCGGGAGGAGGACAAGGUGAGAGGCUUGGGGUCACGACGCUGUGUAGCCCGGGCCACCUCUGAAGGGUAGAGUCCCUCAUUGGACCUCGAAGUAGGAGGCUCCCUUUCCGCUCUUGUCUUUUAUGUGCUCUCUUCCCGUUGCACCCAGCCAAGGGCAGUAGUGGACCUCAGACAGGUUGUUUCCCUAACGGGCGAGAGCAGACUUUGCGGAAGACUUAGGCGAAGAAAGUACCGAUAAACACAGAAGGCGGUGCCGCGGUGGCUCUGGGUGAGAGCGAGAGGGACGCAGAGGGCGCUGGAGGAGAGGUUUAGGAGACAGGCAGGUGGGAGCAGAGGAGAAGCACGUCGCUGGUAAGAAGGAAGGAAGGUGUGCGAUGCCCGGGACAUUCACGCAGAGUCCAGGAAACCGGGCGGCCGGGGAGCAGGGGCUUUGUCGCGGGGCAAGCACCGGGCGGGCGAAGAGGGAGGCUGCCAGCAUUCGUUCUGCUGCCCUUCAGAUUGAGGAGAUCGAACGAGAGAUCAUCAAGCAGGAGGAGAACGUGGACCCCGACUACUGGGAGAAGCUGCUGAGGCAUCACUACGAGCAACAGCAGGAAGACCUGGCCCGGAAUCUCGGCAAGGGCAAGCGGGUUCGCAAGCAGGUCAACUACAACGACGCCGCUCAGGAGGACCAAGGUGAGGACCGCCCCCGACGGAGGAGCUGGAGAGGGCCGAGGAGGAGUCUGGAGGCCGGGGUGCAUUUAGAGGGCCGUGGAGGGGCAAGAGGCUGGGAAGGGUCCGCGGGACCUGCCAGGAGGCCAGGCGGCUCAUGGGCGGCCUCAGCCAGCUGGUGGCUGCAGAGGCCCCGUGUGGGCACCCAGGGUCCUCGCCUAGUGCAGGACCUGCGGGAGUCGGAGGCGAGCAGGGAUGAGGCGAGCGGCGAGCGGCUGUUCGGGACGUGGCCCCCGAGUCAGACUGCGGCAGUCACCUGGCGUCACCAGGGGGCCCGGGGCCGGAGAAGGGGAGGCCUCCAGGCAGAAAGGGCUUAUCCCGGGAGCCGUCGCCAACCCCUGUGCUGCCUCCCUACAGACAACCAGUCCGAAUACUCCGUGGGAUCGGAGGAGGAAGAUGAAGACUUUGAUGAGCGUCCAGAAGGUGGCACCUGUUUUCCUGAUUUUCCACCUUAACCCUUCCUGUUUCCCUCCCGGAGCCCUUAAGUCCCCUGCUUUUGUGCAAACAAGUGCUUUUCUGGAGACGCGCUAAAAGGAUGAGAUUCCACCGUUAAAACUUGGAGUAUGUGAACACAUGGGCUUAGAUGGCUGGAUGAAAAAUCGAGAAAGCUUUACAUUCCCACGGGUAACCUGGCUCGCAUCGAGUGUCUGUUGCCAGGGUGUUAACGUGCCUGGCUUCUUCCAGGCCUGCUGGGUUGGUAGGGCUGAAAGUGCCACGUGACCCAGGCCUUGCCUGGGUUCUGCGUCUUGUGGGCCUGGGGUGCUGAGAAGGACUGAGGGGUGGAGGAGGUGGGGGGCCCACUAACCAGGUCACCCUCCCCCUCCACGCACACACCCAGGGCGUCGACAGUCCAAGAGGCAGCUCCGGAACGAAAAGGACAAGCCGCUGCCUCCCCUGCUGGCCCGAGUUGGGGGCAACAUCGAGGUGAGAGCCGGGCCCAGGCCCCCGCGUGUUCCUUAAGGAGAGGGUGAAGCCGGGAGUGGGGGACCGAGGCCGAGUCGCUGAGGGGAAGGACCAAGAAGCGAGAUGCCGGGACGCUCACGGCCCGCUGCCCGCUCGCCCCGACCCUCAGGUGCUGGGAUUCAACACCCGGCAGCGGAAGGCCUUCCUCAACGCCGUGAUGCGCUGGGGGAUGCCACCACAGGACGCCUUCACCACGCAGUGGCUGGUGCGGGACCUCAGGGGCAAGACCGAGAAGGAGUUCAAGUGAGUGCGGGCACCCGGGGUGGAGCUGCACGCGAGGGUACGAGCCGUGCGUGUCCGCUCCUUCCUCUUGGCCGCCACGUGAUGUGACCUUACUCAACCGAUUCAUCACGCUCCCCUGCCACGCGGCGUUUUCCGGCUUGGUUUCCUGGGGCGUGGACUCAGCCUGCCCACCUCCCCUCAGCCGAGCCUAGAGCAGAGAGGCCUGGCUUCCUCCCCCACAGGGCAGGUGGUUAAGACAGGAACCUGGCCCCGGGCUGGCCUCGCCUCACAUUUACUCGGUAGGGGAGCUGGUGGACAGGACGAAGAGCUGACUGAUGGGGCCUAGGAAGGACGCACCAAGGCCACGGAGACUGUGGAGACACAAGGGGAGGGGCGGAGGCGGGAGAUGGGGUUUGGAGGGCUGGUUGCGGUGCGAUUGAGCGGCCCUGGGAGGACCCCUGGGGGCACCCUGGAGGCACCGUGGGAGUUUAGGGUUCAGGGGAUGAGGGUGACAUCCUCGCUGGCUGCUCGGGCCCCUCCUGAAGCUCUCCUAACCUGCGUCCCUCCCCACGCUCCCCAGGGCCUAUGUGUCUCUGUUCAUGCGCCAUCUGUGUGAGCCCGGGGCAGACGGUUCUGAAACCUUUGCUGACGGGGUCCCUCGGGAGGGCCUGAGUCGCCAGCAAGUGUUGACCCGAAUUGGAGUCAUGUCUCUCGUCAAGAAGAAGGUACUCGUCUCCUUGGCCAGAGUCAAGCUGGCCACCUAGGCCCCAUGCCCCCCUCUGCCUGGCGACCCCGCGUUCUGGAUUCAGGCUGGCGGGAGAGGAGACCCGGACGGGGCUGAGCUUCCUGUGUGUCCGGCGCCCGCAGCUGACCCCUGUCCCCCACGGUCCCGGUGCCCCUCUCAGGUGCAGGAGUUUGAGCACAUCAAUGGGCGCUGGUCGAUGCCCGAGCUGAUGCCCGACCCCAGUGCCGACUCUAAGCGCUCCUCCAGGGCCUCCUCUCCUACCAAAACGUCUCCCACCACCCCGGAGGCUUCUGCUACAAACAGCCCUUGCACUUCUAAACCUGGUAACGGGGGCCGGGACGCAGGAGGGGUGGGCAGGGAGCCAGCGCCCCGCGGACAGAGGAGUGGGAGACAGCGUGGGGUCUCUGCCUCCCCCCUGCAGCUACUCCGGCUCCAAGUGAGAAGGGAGAUGGCGUCAGGACACCUCUUGAAAAGGAUGAAGCGGAAAACCAGGAGGAGAAGCCCGAGAGGAAGAUCGAGAAGAUGGAAACAGAGGUGUGUGGCUGCCUGGCUCCCCCAGAGAAGGAGACAGUCAAGGUGUCCGGAAUCUCUGCUUCAUCCUGACCCCAUGGUCGUCUUCUAGGCCGACGCCCCUAGCCCAGCCCCGUCGCUUGGGGAGCGGCUGGAGCCAAGGAAGAUUCCUCUAGAGGAAGAGGUGUCUGGAAUAGCAGGAGAAAUGGAGCCUGAACCUGGGUACCGGGGGGACAGAGAGAAGUCAGGUGGGUUCAUGGGCUUAGGGCUGAUGAGGGGCUUCGAGUGUGGGAGUUCCCUCUUCCGGGGUCAGGGGAUGAGGGUGACAUCCUCCCUUCGUGUCCCCUUCCCCCUCCCACAGCCACAGAGUCAACGCCAGGAGAGAGGGGGGAGGAGAAGCCAUUGGAUGGACAGGAACACAGGGAGAGGCCGGAGGGGGAGACAGGGGAUUUGGGCAAGAGAGGUAAUGGGUGGAAGGACUGGACACCUGCGUCCCUGGGGAAUCGGGCGGUGGAGUCUGGGGGCCAAAUGCCUGGGUCCUGGGGGCGGGGGUACCGUUCCAGGGCCUGUCUGGUGCAGGGCGGGGUCUUCGGGGCUGCGAGGAGCCCCUGCCGAGGUGUGAGCUCUGCCCCGUCUGCCCCAGCAGAGGAUGUGAAAGGGGACCGGGAGCUUCGACCGGGGCCUCCUCGGGACGAGCCACGGUCCAACGGGCGGCGCGAGGAGAAGGCGGAGAAGCCUCGGUUCAUGUUCAACAUCGCAGACGGCGGCUUCACAGGUGGGGGGCUGUCCCUGCCGCCUGCUCCUCACUGGGAUGCGCUCAUCCUCGUGGGCACUGUCCCCUCCCGCUGUCCACACUCCGCACCUCCGCCCGGCUGCCGUUCCCCGAGUCCUGACGCCCGUCUCUGUCUUCUGCCCGCUUCUCAGAGCUUCACACGCUGUGGCAGAAUGAGGAACGGGCAGCUAUUUCCUCGGGGAGACUCAACGAGAUCUGGCACCGAAGACACGACUACUGGCUUCUGGCUGGGAUUGUCCUGUAUCCUUUGAUACGAACGCAAGAAAAAAAAAUAGUUCUCCCAGCCCGGAGAGGGGAGUCACGGAGAAAGAAGAGUCCGCACCCAGGGAAGGGGGGGCCGUGCCACACUUUGGGGGAGAUCAGGUCAAAGGGAAGGAGUGUUUUUUGGUCCUUAAAACAUUUUCUUAAUGUUUGUUUAAAUUUUUGAGAGGGAGAGAGACAGAGCACGAGUGGAGGAGGGGCAGAGAGAGAGAGGGAGACACGGAAUUGGAGGCAGGCUCCGGGCUCUGAGCUGUCAGCACAGAGCCCGACGCGGGGCUCGAACUCCCAGACCGCGAGAUCGUGACCUGAGCCAAAGUCAGACGCUUAACCGACCGAGCCACCCAGGCAUCUCGAAAGAGGCGUUCGUGGCGCAGCCCAUCCCUGUUAAAUUCCUUGACGGCCCCUCCCUCGUCACAGCCAUGGCUACGCACGGUGGCAGGACAUCCAGAAUGAUGCUCAGUUUGCCAUCAUCAACGAGCCGUUCAAAACCGAAGCCAAUAAGGGGAACUUCCUGGAGAUGAAAAAUAAGUUCCUGGCCCGGAGGUUCAAGGUG
RNAcentral lists this long non-coding RNA (9719 nucleotides) under Lynx pardinus (Iberian lynx). The stretch from base 7012 to 7151 matches the Rfam family "Small Cajal body specific RNA 21". Lineage: Eukaryota; Metazoa; Chordata; Mammalia; Carnivora; Felidae. The record is from RNAcentral.